Sycon ciliatum is the source of this 1109-nucleotide long non-coding RNA. RefSeq lists it as uncharacterized. The transcript is spliced from 3 exons. The record is from RefSeq and is a predicted model, not a curated record. Lineage: Eukaryota; Metazoa; Porifera; Calcarea; Leucosolenida; Sycettidae.
CUCUUGGUGUCACCAGUGCAGACACCAGUCACGUCGCGGGAUCUCUGCGUUCGCCGCUUGGAGAUCAAGCUCGGGCAUCCUAUCGCAGACGACAUAACGACAAUCCGGUACGCGGUAUGCGGUCGACAUGCGAUAUGCAUUAUUCGUCGCUCAUAAGCCGCCGUGGGUGCUCACCACUUGCUAUUGUUUCGCAGAGCGACGAGCUCCGGGUUCCGAACCAGGGUGUAAGCCAUAUGCCAACGUUUGGCAGCUGAGAAGCAUACAGAGAAACACAUUGGAGCGCAUGGUCAGGGUUGUCGGGGAUGAUUCUACUCCUGGCAAGGGAGAUAUGUACUAGUGCACUGUUAUGCGUACGUGAUGUUGGUGCAUACGAGUGUUGCUGCAGGUGACAAUCACUGCAUGCCAUUGAUUCGUGUUAGUCGACAGUUAUUCUCGAGUGCAUUCUGAUCCUGCAUUCACCUGACUUAUGUUUGACUCUUUCUUCAGUUGUCUAUUUCUUUGUAGCACUUGAUAGCUGCUGCCCUGUGGUUCGGUGAGAACGAUUCUGUUCUGUAGCUUCUGCCUUCCCAGAUGCUUAAUUAGCUAAUAAUUAUAUCCUCGAUUUUGUAGUAUACUCUUUUUCCAGAGUUGAAUCGUUACUGAUCACGACCUGGCAAUCCUUCUGUAACAUUUGGUAUUCAUUCACACUUCUACCGGUAUAAUUUCUGUUGCUUGGCUAUGGUGUAACUGGCCAUGUGUGUACUGGAGCCAGCCAUAUUGGGCAGGUUCUUUUAUGCACAAAAUGCAGCCUGCUCCAUGACGGUCAGCAUGUCCACCGAGAGUUCAUCCCUCCAUGCUCAGCAGUCAACACUGACAGUUGCCAGUCGAACACAGCAGCAGACAGUGCUGCGAGAACUGCCAUCAAACUGACCCCUUGCAAUACGGUCAUACAACAUUUUCCCCCUGCAUUUUCUCAUCACAGCUCCCUACGUCAACCUGCCAGUCUCGACAACAGUUACACAGAAGCACAAUUGACACAGGGAUAAGCUUACCAGAAUCAUAUUGUUCCCAUCCACGAGGCAUGAGAGGUCGGUUUAGUUUCACAAGCAUGACUGUGUUGAAAGCGGCCA